GAUGAAGAACGUAGUGAAAUGCGAUAAGUAAUGCGAAUUGCAGAUUUCAGUGAGUCAUCGAAUCUUUGAACGCACAUUGCGCCCGCUGGUAUUCCGGCGGGCAUGCCUGUUCGAGCGUCAUUUCAACCCUCAAGCCCCCGGGUUUGGUGUUGGGGAUCGGCUCUGCCCUUCUGGGCGGUGCCGCCCCCGAAAUACAUUGGCGGUCUCGCUGCAGCCUCCAUUGCGUAGUAGCUAACACCUCGCAACUGGAACGCGGCGCGGCCAUGCCGUAAAACCCCAACUUCUGAAUGUUGACCUCGGAUCAGGUAGGAAUACCCGCUGAACUUAAGCAUAUCAAUAAGCGGAGGA
RNAcentral lists this unclassified non-coding RNA (348 nucleotides) under soil metagenome. RNAcentral's name for it is "partial contains 5.8S ribosomal RNA, internal transcribed spacer 2, and large subunit ribosomal RNA". The stretch from base 1 to 120 matches the Rfam family "5.8S ribosomal RNA", at positions 35 to 154 of the family's 154-position model. The record is from RNAcentral.